Molecule: ribosomal RNA, 540 nt
Filed under: uncultured eukaryote
Lineage: Eukaryota
Description: SSU rRNA
Rfam family: Eukaryotic small subunit ribosomal RNA
Source: RNAcentral
UGUAUUUAUUAGAUAAAAAACCAAUGCCCUUCGGGGCUUUUUGGUGAUUCAUGAUAACUUUACGGAUCGCAUAGCCUUGCGCUGGCGACGGUUCAUUCAAAUUUCUGCCCUAUCAACUUUCGAUGGUAAGGUAUUGGCUUACCAUGGUUUCAACGGGUAACGGGGAAUUAGGGUUCGAUUCCGGAGAGGGAGCCUGAGAAACGGCUACCACAUCCAAGGAAGGCAGCAGGCGCGCAAAUUACCCAAUCCCGACACGGGGAGGUAGUGACAAUAAAUACUGAUACAGGGCUCUUUUGGGUCUUGUAAUUGGAAUGAGUACAAUUUAAACCUCUUAACGAGGAACAAUUGGAGGGCAAGUCUGGUGCCAGCAGCCGCGGUAAUUCCAGCUCCAAUAGCGUAUAUUAAAGUUGUUGUGGUUAAAAAGCUCGUAGUUGAACCUUGGGCCUGGCCGUCCGGUCCGCCUCACCGCGUGCACUCGUCCGGCCGGGCCUUCCUUCUGAAGAACCUCAUGCCCUUCACUGGGCGUGCUGGGGAACCAGG